This 492-nucleotide ribosomal RNA is filed under the name uncultured bacterium. RNAcentral describes it as "partial 16S ribosomal RNA". It matches the Rfam family "Bacterial small subunit ribosomal RNA", at positions 29 to 507 of the family's 1533-position model. The record is from RNAcentral.
AGUGAACGCUGGCGGUAGGCCUAACACAUGCAAGUCGAACGGCAGCACAGUAAGAGCUUGCUCUUACGGGUGGCGAGUGGCGGACGGGUGAGGAAUACAUCGGAAUCUACUUUUUCGUGGGGGAUAACGUAGGGAAACUUACGCUAAUACCGCAUACGACCUACGGGUGAAAGCAGGGGAUCUUCGGACCUUGCGCGAUUGAAUGAGCCGAUGUCGGAUUAGCUAGUUGGCGGGGUAAAGGCCCACCAAGGCGACGAUCCGUAGCUGGUCUGAGAGGAUGAUCAGCCACACUGGAACGAAGACACGGUCCAGACUCCUACGGGAGGCAGCAGUGGGGAAUAUUGGACAAUGGGCGCAAGCCUGAUCCAGCCAUACCGCGUGGGUGAAGAAGGCCUUCGGGUUGUAAAGCCCUUUUGUUGGGAAAGAAAAGCAGCAGGUUAAUACCCCGCUGUUCUGACGGUACCCAAAGAAUAAGCACCGGCUAACUUCGUG